GUGGUUAAAGUAAGAUAAAUUUCGCGGAUCAAUGAAUUUUCGACGAUAUGAACAACUCAGAUAACAUUGUCGGGAAAAAGGGUGCAAGUAGAAUAUUUUUAUAUUUCAACGCAUUGCAACUCUGGGGAACAAACGAUACGAAUUCCUAAGAAAUUCGUAUUAAUUGAAUCUUCUUUUCGAGACGUACUUUGACCGGAGCAUCCCCUUACCUUUCACAAGAGCGCGAAUUAUCAGAAGAUAAUGAAUCUAACCUAUUUAGAGAGGAAGAAACUUCAGAAGUUCCAGCGACUAAUGCCCAAAUGCAAGAAGCUCUACGAAUUGUUCGUCGUAGCGUGCGAUAUAGAACAACAAAGUUCGAGAAGCAUUAUAACUUAAUAUCACCGGGAUCGUUGGCUCCUCCGUGUCGCAGCUUUUGCAACCAGGUCGCCUUUGAGGCAGAGUAUCACCUUCCCCAUGGAAAGUGCGUUCGACGAGGGUAAACUAUCUGAAAGCCUGCACUUAUAUCGAAAUCAACCGUUGACUCGAUCAGUGGGUCAAGGAGAGGAUCAUGGGGUUACGAUUAACGAAGACAUCGAAGAAUGAUCGCAAGGCCGCCUGCUAUACGUAGAUUUAGAAGUGACACAAUCGGAAUUCGUACGAAGCAAUUGGAACCAAGG
RNAcentral lists this unclassified non-coding RNA (656 nucleotides) under Bombus terrestris (buff-tailed bumblebee). RNAcentral's name for it is "misc RNA ENSBTSG00005026887.1". The record is from RNAcentral. Lineage: Eukaryota; Metazoa; Arthropoda; Insecta; Hymenoptera; Apidae.